RNAcentral lists this ribosomal RNA (252 nucleotides) under uncultured bacterium. RNAcentral's name for it is "partial 16S ribosomal RNA". It matches the Rfam family "Bacterial small subunit ribosomal RNA", at positions 524 to 776 of the family's 1533-position model. The record is from RNAcentral.
GACAGAGGCCUCAAGCGUUAGGCGGAAUCACUGGGCUUAAAGCGUGUGUAGGCGGAUCGUUAAGUGUCUUGUGAAAUCCCACGGCUCACCCGUGGAACUGCUGGGCAUACUGGCGAUCUUGGGCCAACUAGGGGCAACUGGAACAAGCGGUGGAGCGGUGAAAUGCGUAGAUAUCGCUUGGAACGCCAAAGGUGAAAACAGGUUGCUGGGUUGUGCCGACGCUGAGACACGAAAGCCAGGGGAGCAAACGGG